CGGAGGGUGCAAGCGUUAUCCGGAUUUACUGGGUUUAAAGGGUGCGUAGGUGGGUCUGUAAGUCAGUGGUGAAAUCUCCGGGCUUAACUCGGAAACUGCCAUUGAUACUAUAGGUCUUGAAUUAUCUGGAGGUGAGCGGAAUAUGUCAUGUAGCGGUGAAAUGCUUAGAUAUGACAUGGAACACCAAUUGCGAAGGCAGCUCACUACGGAUAUAUUGACACUGAGGCACGAAAGCGUGGGGAUCAAACAGGAUUAGAUACCCUGGUAGUCCACGCCCUAAACGAUGGAUACUCGACAUACGCGAUACACAGUGUGUGUCUGAGCGAAAGCAUUAAGUAUCCCACCUGGGAAGUACGAUCGCAAGAUUG
RNAcentral lists this ribosomal RNA (368 nucleotides) under uncultured organism. RNAcentral describes it as "bacterial SSU rRNA". It matches the Rfam family "Bacterial small subunit ribosomal RNA", at positions 526 to 896 of the family's 1533-position model. The record is from RNAcentral.